AUACGAAGGGUGCAAGCGUUACUCGGAAUUACUGGGCGUAAAGCGUGCGUAGGUGGUUGUUUAAGUCUGUCGUGAAAGCCCUGGGCUCAACCUGGGAAUGGCGAUGGAAACUGGGCGACUAGAGUGUGGCAGAGGGUAGUGGAAUUCCUGGUGUAGCAGUGAAAUGCGUAGAGAUCAGGAGGAACAUCCGUGGCGAAGGCGACUGCCUGGGCCAACACUGACACUGAGGCACGAAAGCGUGGGGAGCAAACAGGAUUAGAUACCCUGGUAGUCCACGCCCUAAACGAUGCGAACUGGAUGUUGGGUGCAAUUUGGCACGCAGUAUCGAAGCUACCGCGUUAAGUUCGCCGCCUGGGGAGUACGGUCGCAAGACUGAAACUCAAAUGAAUUGGCGGGG
This 397-nucleotide ribosomal RNA is filed under the name uncultured bacterium. RNAcentral describes it as "partial 16S ribosomal RNA". It matches the Rfam family "Bacterial small subunit ribosomal RNA", at positions 523 to 918 of the family's 1533-position model. The record is from RNAcentral.